This 577-nucleotide ribosomal RNA is filed under the name bacterium GYS2B. Its description in RNAcentral is "bacterial SSU rRNA". It matches the Rfam family "Bacterial small subunit ribosomal RNA", at positions 337 to 905 of the family's 1533-position model. The record is from RNAcentral.
CCUUCCGGGGGGCAGCAGUAGGGAAUCUUCCACAAUGGACGCAAGUCUGAUGGAGCAACGCCGCGUGAGUGAAGAAGGGUUUCGGCUCGUAAAGCUCUGUUGUUAAAGAAGAACGUGGGUAAGAGUAACUGUUUACCCAGUGACGGUAUUUAACCAGAAAGCCACGGCUAACUACGUGCCAGCAGCCGCGGUAAUACGUAGGUGGCAAGCGUUAUCCGGAUUUAUUGGGCGUAAAGCGAGCGCAGGCGGUCUUUUAAGUCUAAUGUGAAAGCCUUCGGCUCAACCGAAGAAGUGCAUUGGAAACUGGGAGACUUGAGUGCAGAAGAGGACAGUGGAACUCCAUGUGUAGCGGUGAAAUGCGUAGAUAUAUGGAAGAACACCAGUGGCGAAGGCGGCUGUCUGGUCUGCAACUGACGCUGAGGCUCGAAAGCAUGGGUAGCGAACAGGAUUAGAUACCCUGGUAGUCCAUGCCGUAAACGAUGAUUACUAAGUGUUGGAGGGUUUCCGCCCUUCAGUGCUGCAGCUAACGCAUUAAGUAAUCCGCCUGGGGAGUACGACCGCAAGGUUGAAACUCAAA